CGCAGACACGCCUCGGAUCCUGCGUUGCUGUGGCUGUGGUGUAGGCCGGCAGCUGUAGCUCUGAUUCAACCCCUAGCUGGGAACCUCCAAGUGCUGCGGGUGCAGCCCUAAAAAGAAAAAAGAAAAGAAAAAAAGAAAAGCAGAUCUGCUCAUAUCCUUGCACUGCUUGGCUCUUGUAGCUCUCAGGUGCAAUCCUAAGAUCCUGACAUGUCCUACUGAGUCCUGACCCCUGCCUACCUGUCCAGCCCCAUCUCUUAAUCCACGCUUCACUCUAGAUUAUUUUCUUUCUUGUGCCCAGACUCUUCUGCUCACCCUGUAUCCCCUUCUGCCUAACUCUAACUUAUCUGGAAAAUGGCAGCCCCGAAUGUCUUCCUCUGGAAAACCUUUUUAGGAUUUCCCAAAACCAUGUUAGGUGCCUGUUUCAGAAAGUCAGCCACCUGGAGUUCCCUCUGUGGUACAGCAGGUUAAGGGUCUGGCUUGUCUCUGCAGCACCGCCAGUUUGAUCCUGGCCUGGCCCAGUGGGUUAAGGAUCCAGUGUUACUACAUCUGUGGCACAGGUCGCAGGCACAGCUUGGAUUUGAUCCCUGACCUAGGAACUUCCACAUGCCGUGGGUGCAGCCAAAACCAGGGUGGUGGUGGGGGCGGGGAGUGAGACACCAUGUCUGCCGUCCGUGGCCCCUUCCAGUGAUGAAAAUGUCCUGUCGACUGUCCCCCAGAAGGGGCAUCAUGUAGCCAUGUGAGCCUGUCCCCAUCUGCUGGCUGGUGACAGGACAAGGGGUGAACACUUGAGCCAGAUGCGGUUCAUCCGUAGACUUGCCGUUUAUCGAAUUUGCCAGCUGCAGAAAGUACUUGAGAACACAGAGAAAGUGAGACUCUAAGCAGCAAGAAGUGAAGUGAGAGUUGCGUAGAGAGAGGCCAGGAUGUGGAGGGAGGCCCCUCAGGCUAUUGGGGUUUUUGCUGCUUUGGCAUCAGUUAGGAUAUUUUAGUUGUAAGCAACAGAAAAUUUCUGCCUAAUUUAGGCUGAAAAGGAAUUCCUUGAAAAUGCAUUGGCUACUUCACAGACUUGUCAGUGAAGGCAAGAACCAGACUUGGGACUGUGUAGUUAGGAAGAGUGCCCAGUACCAGCCUGCAGAACAAGUCCGGUGAGCAACACUCUGAGACCGGGUCACUGAAGCUUGCACCACUCCAGCUGCUGUGCCAGCAACUCAGUGUUACCGCAACCUCCCAGCUGCAGAGAGAGAAAUCCUGGGUCAAUCCCUUCCUCUUUGGGAUACUAGCUCCUGAUUCAAGGUCGGGAUAUGAGUCCAAUUGGUCUUAUACCUGUGACUCAGCUGCAAGGGAGUCUGGGAAAGCAAGUAUGGGCAUUUUCAGCUUCUGGAAGAGGAGGCAGGUUCUGCUUCUCCAAAGAUUUCAAGGCUGAGGGAUUUCGCAGACAUAGAAAAGAGAUUCAUAUGCCAUGGCCCCUACUGAAAUUAUCCUAAUUAAUGCCUUACUUUCUUCACAUGUAGAUGCCCUGAAUUGUUUCCAGUUUUACGUCUCUGAAUGCUUGGGAUUAACCCUUCUUAGCCAUCAUGAAUUAUUCUUUUGAUAUAAUUCUUGGUUGGUGUGCUCACAUUUCAUUUAGAACUUUCACAUCGAAAUUAGAAAAGAGGAGUGGCCCUUAAAUUUCUUUGGAAGGGCUUUGUCUUUUUCUGUUUGUUUGCUUUGAUGUGUCGUCAGGGUUAUGCUGGCUUUGGGAAAUAAGUUGGAAAUUUUUCUGUUCUCUGGAAAAGUUAGAGGUCAUAGGGAUUUUCCAUGCAGUUUUGGUGGAAUUCACCUGUAAAACCCUCCAGCCCUGAUGCCACUUGGUGGAGAGUUCCUCAAAUACCUUUCCACUUUCUACUAGAAUUGCCCAUUGGAGUGUCUACCUCUUGUGUCAAUUUUUGGUAACUGACAUUUAUCUACUAAGAUAUCUAUUUCACGUGGCUCUUCAAUUUACAUGGCAAGUCGCAAUAUUUUAUACUUUUAUCAUUUGUUAAAGUCUCCAGAGCUGUAGUUAUGACUCCUAAUGUUGUGAAUUUGUAUUUUCUUUCUCUUCUGUCUCUCUCUCUCUCUCCCUGUUCUUCCCUGCCCUUUUUGGGCCAUGCCCUCCACAGGCAGAAGUUCCCAGGCCAAGGAAUGAACUCGAGCCACAGCGGUGACAACACUGCAUCCUCAACCCAGUGAGCCACCAGGGAACUCCUCCCCAUUUUAUUCUUCCUACUUGCCAAAGAUUGGUCUAUUUAAUUGGACUAGUCAAAGAACUGGAUUUAUUAUUUUUACUAGUCAAUUUUUUUUUCUAUUUGAUGAUGAAUGUCUACUUUAAUCUUUAGUAAUUUCUCAUACUUUGAGCUUAUUUUCAUGUUCUCCUUCUACCUUCUUGACUUGAAAUCUUUCACUUAUUUUCCAUCUUUCUUGCUUUUCUGGUAAAUUUGUUUAAUUUAUCCUUUUCAUUUGAAUACUGCUCUGUGCCAUCUCACAUGUUUUAUCAUGUAAUACCUAAGGUGAAUAUUUGUAAUUUUUUUUUAAUAGACACCCCUGAGGCUUAUGGACGUUCCCAGGCUAGGGGUCAAAUUUGAGCUGCAGCUGCCAGCCUAUACCACAGCCACAGCAAUGCCAGAUCCAAGCCAUGUCUGCGACCUAUGCGACAACUCAUGGCAGUGCUAGAUCCUUAACCCACUGAGCAAGGCCAGGGAUCAAACCUGCGUCCUUAGGGGUACUAGUCAGAUUCGUUUCCGCUGUGCCGCAAUGGGGAACUUCCUUUGUAAUUUUUAAAUCCAGCAUCUUUUCCUCAAAAAUAAGAGGACCCCAUUUCCUUUUGGGAGAAUAUGCCUCCCCAGAUGAGUGCAAACUUGACUUUAUGGGAGCACGUACCCUGUCCUCUUGCUUUGGAAACCAAAAUGUCUUUCCUCCUACCUUAUCCUUCCUGUCACCACCUGAGUUCAGCCCAGGCAUGUGACCUAGUCGUGGAUGACCAUACUCCCUCUCCUAGGAUUUCAAAUGCUGAAAGAGGUUACCAAAGAACAGAAAAUGGAACUGGGGGGAAUUCCCCUCGUGGCGCAGUGGUUAACGAAUCCGACUAGGACCCAUGAGGUUUCGGGUUCGAUCCCUGGCCUCGCUCAGUGGGUUAGGGAUCCGGCGUUGCGGUGAGCUGUGGUGUAAGUCGCAGAUGCAGCUCGGAUCCUGUGUUGCUGUGGCUGUGGUGUAGACGGGCGGCUACAGCUCCGAUUGGACCCCUAGCCUGGGAACCUCCAUAGGCCGUGGGAGCAGCCCUAGAAAUGGCAAAAAGACAAAAAAAAAAAAAAAAAAGAAAAAGAAAAA
Molecule: transfer RNA, 3339 nt
Filed under: Sus scrofa (pig)
Lineage: Eukaryota; Metazoa; Chordata; Mammalia; Artiodactyla; Suidae
Description: lncRNA (ENSSSCG00055019702.1)
Source: RNAcentral